UACGUAGGGUGCGAGCGUUGUCCGGAGUUACUGGGCGUAAAGCGCACGCAGGCGGUCUGCUAAGUUUGGAGUGACAGUUGGUGGCUUAACUGCCAAAGUGCUUCGAAAACUGACAGACUUGAGGGCUUCAGAGGGACACGGAAUUCCGGGUGGAGUGGUGAAAUGCGUAGAGAUCCGGAGGAACACCAAAGGCGAAGGCAGUGUCCUGGGGAGUACCUGACGCUCAGGUGCGAAAGCGUGGGUAGCAAACAGG
RNAcentral lists this ribosomal RNA (253 nucleotides) under uncultured bacterium. RNAcentral's name for it is "partial 16S ribosomal RNA". It matches the Rfam family "Bacterial small subunit ribosomal RNA", at positions 524 to 776 of the family's 1533-position model. The record is from RNAcentral.